Juglans regia (Persian walnut) is the source of this 107-nucleotide small nuclear RNA. The record is from RefSeq and is a predicted model, not a curated record. NCBI's taxonomy places the organism in Eukaryota, Viridiplantae, Streptophyta, Magnoliopsida, Fagales, Juglandaceae.
GAGAAGUUCUUAUCCGAUAUAGAAAUUUGGAAUUAUACAGAAAAGAUUAGCAUGACCCUUACGCAAGAAUGACACGCACAAAUUGAGAAAUUGUAUCAGAGAUUAUU